This 429-nucleotide ribosomal RNA is filed under the name Gemmatimonadota bacterium. RNAcentral describes it as "Gemmatimonadetes bacterium partial 16S ribosomal RNA". It matches the Rfam family "Bacterial small subunit ribosomal RNA", at positions 355 to 776 of the family's 1533-position model. Lineage: Bacteria; Pseudomonadati; Gemmatimonadota. The record is from RNAcentral.
UAGGGAAUCUUUGGCAAUGGACGAAAGUCCGACCGAGCACCGCCGCGUGAGUGAAGAAGGUUUUCGGAUCGUAAAACUCUGUUGUUAGAGAAGAACAAGGACGUUAGUAACUGAACGUCCCCUGACGGUAUCUAACCAGAAAGCCACGGCUAACUACGUGCCAGCAGCCGCGGUAAUACGUAGGUGGCAAGCGUUGUCCGGAUUUAUUGGGCGUAAAGCGAGCGCAGGCGGUUUCUUAAGUCUGAUGUGAAAGCCCCCGGCUCAACCGGGGAGGGUCAUUGGAAACUGGGAGACUUGAGUGCAGAAGAGGAGAGUGGAAUUCCAUGUGUAGCGGUGAAAUGCGUAGAUAUAUGGAGGAACACCAGUGGCGAAGGCGGCUCUCUGGUCUGUAACUGACGCUGAGGCUCGAAAGCGUGGGGAGCAAACAGG